Molecule: long non-coding RNA, 548 nt
Filed under: Olea europaea subsp. europaea
Lineage: Eukaryota; Viridiplantae; Streptophyta; Magnoliopsida; Lamiales; Oleaceae
Source: RNAcentral
GGAACUGCGGAGGGGGAAUUGUGGAUCUAGCGGCAAGUGCGGCCAGGGAUGCGGAGGGUGAAGCUCUCUAUUUUUAUUUUUAAUUACUUUUUAUUUUUGGCUUUCCAUUUGCUACUUCGUUCGUUAACUUUUAUGGGUAAGUGAAUUUCUACUCUGUAUAAUCAAUUUAAAUUCAUUAUGAUAUGAUUUCAGUUGCAAGACGUACUUCAAUAUGAGCUGUCCGGCGGCAACUGAGAAUAGUUGCAAGUGCGUUAAUAAUUGCACUUGUAAUCCUUCCACAUGAAGUGUUGGCGCAAAGUGAGGAUCUGAAGCAGAGAUGAAGAAGCUAAGUUAGUAUUAGUAUUGUGUGUUUAAAUAAAUCAUCAUCACUAGUAGGUGGUGACUGUAAUAUUUGUAUAAACUAAUUAAUAAUGUUUCUAAUCUCAUCUCUGCUUAAUUAUAUUAAUGAAAAACUCCUUUUCUUCUAAUUGUCCUUUCCAGUUUUAAUUUCCUUUUCAUAUGCUUUUAUCUUUCAAGUUUAAAAGAAAAUGUUCUUUUUGAAGUCUGAA